AACGCGAAGAACCUUACCUACCCUUGACAUCCUAGGAAUCUUACAGAGAUGUAGGAGUGCCGAAAGGAACCUAGAGACAGGUGCUGCAUGGCUGUCGUCAGCUCGUGUUGUGAGAUGUUGGGUUAAGUCCCGUAACGAGCGCAACCCUUAUCCUUAGUUACCAGCGCGUGAAGGCGGGGACUCUAAGGAGACUGCUGGUGAUGAACCGGAGGAAGGCGGGGACGACGUCAAGUCAUCAUGGCCUUUAUGGGUAGGGCUACACACGUGCUACAAUGGACAGUACAGAGGGUAGCCAACCCGCGAGGGGGAGCCAAUCCCAGAAAGCUGUUCGUAGUCCGGAUCGGAGUCUGCAACUCGACUCCGUGAAGUCGGAAUCGCUAGUAAUCGCGAAUCAGAAUGUCGCGGUGAAUACGUUCCCGGGCCUUGUACACACCGCUCGCGA
Molecule: ribosomal RNA, 442 nt
Filed under: uncultured bacterium
Lineage: Bacteria
Description: bacterial SSU rRNA
Rfam family: Bacterial small subunit ribosomal RNA
Source: RNAcentral